This 474-nucleotide long non-coding RNA is filed under the name Carica papaya (papaya). RNAcentral's name for it is "long non-coding RNA (CPAP_LNC014189)". The record is from RNAcentral. Lineage: Eukaryota; Viridiplantae; Streptophyta; Magnoliopsida; Brassicales; Caricaceae.
UCCAUUGGUCUUUUUGUGUUUUUCUACCCACCUUUACCUCCGUGACGGUGAGAUAUCGUGAUGUUCUUACUGGGCUAGUGUAGCUCACUCCUUAUUUAACCAUUUCAGAUCAGGAAGACGUGGUUCCCGAGCCCGUUCCGCAGGAGGACGACGAAGGGGAUGCCUAGAGACUCUGUAGUCAUACUCAUAGUUUUAUUUUCGAGUUUCUCUCUUAGUUAGUUUAAUCUUUUAUAUUUUAAGUACGUUUUUGGUUUUUCGUGUAAGGGAUGUUAACUGAAAUUUUGAUCUCGCUUCCGCAUUUGAUAUAUUUAAAUACUCAUUUCAUUUUAAUAUUUCCGGGGUCGUUACAGUUGGUAUCAGAGCCGCGUUUCCUCGGACCCAUCCCUUACACUAUAGUCCUUUAAAGAAAUACUCACCGAUUGGUCGUUACUCAACCAUUCCUUGUAAAUGCAGGUACACAGAAAUGAGGAGAGG